Molecule: long non-coding RNA, 299 nt
Organism: Arachis duranensis
Lineage: Eukaryota; Viridiplantae; Streptophyta; Magnoliopsida; Fabales; Fabaceae
Exons: 3
Source: RefSeq, a predicted model, not a curated record
CUCUUCUUCUUUAAUUCUCGCCUCUCUCUUUUGCUGUUCUGAUUGUUCAUUUUCUUACAAAUGUUAAAUCAAAUUAAUUUUGCUGUGAUGAAUUUCUGGGAUCUCUUUCAAGGAGAGAAGAAUUUGCCGAACGGAAAUGUGAGGAUGCAAAUAAGGGAUAAAGCUAGAUACAAAAUCAGAUAUGCAAAGCAGAUUAAGAAAGAUACCCAAUUUAUGGUAUUUUCUGGCUGAAAUUGAGGAGCUGGAGCAAAAGUCUGAUUUAAAGGCAGAGAAAGCAUUGCAGAUGCUGUUCGAAUCUG